CAGUCGCCGCGGUAAUACAGAGGGUGCAAGCGUUAAUCGGAAUUACUGGGCGUAAAGCGCGCGUAGGUGGUUUGUUAAGUUGGAUGUGAAAGCCCCGGGCUCAACCUGGGAACUGCAUCCAAAACUGGCAAGCUAGAGUACGGUAGAGGGUGGUGGAAUUUCCUGUGUAGCGGUGAAAUGCGUAGAUAUAGGAAGGAACACCAGUGGCGAAGGCGACCACCUGGACUGAUACUGACACUGAGGUGCGAAAGCAUGGGGAGCAAACAGGAUUAGAUACCCCCGUAGUCCCUGUCUCUUAUAC
Molecule: ribosomal RNA, 301 nt
Filed under: uncultured bacterium
Lineage: Bacteria
Description: partial 16S ribosomal RNA
Rfam family: Bacterial small subunit ribosomal RNA
Source: RNAcentral